GCCUGGCAUGGUGACACAUGCCUGUAAUCUCUGCUUCCAGGAAGGCUGAGGCUAGUGGAUUACUUGAGCUGGAGAUAUCUGAGCUGCAUUAGGUUUGGAGCUGAUUGAGUGUCCACAUUAUAUCUGGCAUCAAUAUGGUAAGUGCCCUGGAGCAGAGGGCCAGCAAGUAAUCAAAAGACAGGCGAACUGGCCCAGGUUAGAAAUGGAGCAAAUUAAAGCUUGCAUGAUGAUCAGUAUUGGGGUUAGACAUAUGCGCGGCCACUGGGCUUCAAGCCUGGGUGAGAUAGGGAGACGCAGUCUCAA
Molecule: signal recognition particle RNA, 303 nt
Filed under: Vombatus ursinus (common wombat)
Lineage: Eukaryota; Metazoa; Chordata; Mammalia; Diprotodontia; Vombatidae
Description: Metazoan signal recognition particle RNA (ENSVURG00010022162.1)
Rfam family: Metazoan signal recognition particle RNA
About the family: The signal recognition particle (SRP) is a universally conserved ribonucleoprotein. It is involved in the co-translational targeting of proteins to membranes. The eukaryotic SRP consists of a 300-nucleotide 7S RNA and six proteins: SRPs 72, 68, 54, 19, 14, and 9.
Source: Rfam by way of RNAcentral